This is a long non-coding RNA of Notolabrus celidotus (New Zealand spotty), 730 nucleotides long. RefSeq lists it as uncharacterized. Lineage: Eukaryota; Metazoa; Chordata; Actinopteri; Labriformes; Labridae. The record is from RefSeq and is a predicted model, not a curated record. The transcript is spliced from 3 exons.
GUGAGCGGGGACAAUUAGGUGCAGGUGACUCAAAUUAAACAGGGGCAGCUCAUCACACGAGGGGACAGGAAGUGGAGGGGUUGACGCGAGACAUUUGGAUGAAUAUUGAAAUAAAACACGAGACAUAAAACGUGAGGAAAACGAAUAGGCCAACUAUCCAGGGGACAUGGUGAACGUGUUCCAGUGAAAAAUAGGAGUAUCACAAUGAGCCACCAUGCUUUAUGUAGCCUAAAACGUCAGGACCCAGACAGCAAAAGACUGCGAAAUUAAGCUAUCAACUGUGUUCAUUUGAUACGCUUUCUCACAUCAGACAUGAGGAUAGACCUACUGAUCCUUUCCCCUGAAGGCCUCUUAAGAUAGCGGAUUUAAGGACAUGUCAGUCUGCUGCAAGGUGAAGGGGGCGGGGCUUCCCCUUUCACUACAACUCCAUGUCCUGAGCCUCGUCUUCCGAAAAGUCUGACAUGGAGCUCUCUGAGGAGGAGUCCCCUUCCCUCUCCUCCUGCUCCUUUAGAGCCUCUUCAGUGGCAUAUCUCUGGAUGUACUCUGAAAGAAAAACACAAGGACCCCAUGAGACGUCAACAACAACUGAGCAACAACUGAAGCUUCACUGCAUCUGACAACAGAUAAGUUCAGAAACACACAACAACAGCAUGGCUGCCAGCGUUAAUGAAGACUUUGUUCCCAAAAAGAGGCCCAGUUCCAUCCUCAGACAAACCACAGCCCACUGCAG